RNAcentral lists this ribosomal RNA (508 nucleotides) under uncultured bacterium. Its description in RNAcentral is "bacterial SSU rRNA". It matches the Rfam family "Bacterial small subunit ribosomal RNA", at positions 28 to 526 of the family's 1533-position model. The record is from RNAcentral.
GAUGAACGCUAGCGGGAGGCUUAACACAUGCAAGUCGAGGGGCAGCAUAAGGUAGCAAUACUUUGAUGGCGACCGGCGCACGGGUGAGUAACGCGUAUGUAACCUGUCCUCAACAGGAGGAUAACCCGGAGAAAUUCGGACUAAUACUGCAUAAAAUUAUAAAUAGGCAUCUAUUAAUAAUUAAAGCUACGGCGGUUAGGGAGGGGCAUGCGUAACAUUAGCUGGUUGGUAGGGUAACGGCCUACCAAGGCAAUGAUGUUUAGGGGACCUGAGAGGGUGACCCCCCACACUGGUACUGAGACACGGACCAGACUCCUACGGGAGGCAGCAGUGAGGAAUAUUGGUCAAUGGGCGGCAGCCUGAACCAGCCAUCCCGCGUGAAGGAAGAAUGCGCUAUGCGUUGUAAACUUCUUUUUCAGGGGGUAUAAAAUUCUAGUUAUGUAUACAGGACUGAAGGUACCCUGAGAAUAAGCAUCGGCUAACUCCGUGCCAGCAGCCGCGGUAAUAC